Molecule: RNA transcript, 1824 nt
Organism: Rosa chinensis
Lineage: Eukaryota; Viridiplantae; Streptophyta; Magnoliopsida; Rosales; Rosaceae
Exons: 3
Source: RefSeq, a predicted model, not a curated record
ACCCCAAGAAAUCACAGUUACAUGUACCAUCAAGCCAAUGUGUCAAACUCUACCACCAUACACUCAUUUUCAAGGCUACUUUGAUCAUAUGAUCCCGAAUGUUCUACUAGCUGCCGAGGACAAAAUCUAGGGUUAGGUUUUGGAAGGAUGGGUGGAGGAGCAAGGUCUCGGGCGAGGGCCAAGAAGAGGGCGGGAGAGAGUAGGAAAGCCUACGAGGCUCGGGAAAGGAAGAAACCCGACGAGGCUGAACCAUUGCUGUAUCUAUGCACUUUCGAGAUCUACCGUGGAGGUUUAGCCGGAUACCGUGUCCAGGUCAUCAGAUUGAGCGACUUGUUCAUUCCUUCCGAUACUCCCAUCACUAUAUUUUGCCCCAAAUCUCAAGCCCCCAACUCUAACUCCACCGAGGUGCUACGACAAUUUGCUUUUUUAGACGGCGAACACGUUCCCGGCCAUAUGGGUUUUGGUUUCUUGGGCUCUCGAAUUGUUCUGGCCGGCGGCCGGUUUCUCAAUCCGUGGAUGAGACACAAACCUAAACCAACCUAUGUUUUGGAGACUGAUCAGAGUGUGGAACCCAACCCCAGGUUCAUCAGCACCAGAGGUACUCCUAAUCCUAAACCCCCCUAUAUGAUUCCGGAAUUGGAACCGGAAAAACGUCGUCCCUGGAUGCGGGAGAUCGACGGUAAGCUAUACGCUCUCUCUGGCGAUCACAUAGGAUAUGCGGCUUUUGAGGUUUUUGACCCCAGAACCGACCAUGUAUGGGCUUCUCUCCCAUCGCUUCCAAUUAGGAAUCUUCCAAUUGGGAUUGACGGGCUUUCUUUAUCCUCGUGUGCCGCUGUGGGCACCAAGAUCUUGAUCACACUUCCGUUAAAGUCUAGGGUGGCAGUAGUCAAGAUACUCUGCUUCGACGUGGCUCACCCUGAGAGAUCAUGGACUACACUUGAAGAACCACCCUGGUGGCAGUUUAAUAGUGUUUUCCCCGACUUUUACAACGAGGUUUUAGUUUUAGACUUGGAGGAUGACGACUGUGAGAAGCUACUGUUUACUUAUGAUUUUGAAUAUUGCCAAAUACGAGUCUCCAGCAUGAAGCUGUCCAAUGAAGGUGAACCUAAGUGUAUUCAACCGCUAGAUGAGAUAGAUUUGCCUGAUGCGUUUAAGAACUUGGAUGAUUUUUUAGCAACUUCAUACAGCUGUGCUCAUCUUGGAGGUCGAAGAGUAUGCUUUUCAUUCGUGCAUUUGCUAACUCUUCUUGUGUUCACCUUCGAAUUUUCCUAUUCGAUUUCUGGAAUAUUCUCUGUCAAAGCCCUGGGUCAUCGCCUGUUCGACUACUACUCGAAUGAGGAACUUCGUUCUAUCGUUUUGGGUGGUUGCUUUGUGCUGUAACUCCAUCUCUCGUAAGAAGAAGUGUGACAUGGCGCUGACGUGCCUGACCUAUUUCUGGCCGUCGGGGCAAGUGCCUAACCCUGAUGUGCAGGAGGACACGGUUGUUGCCGCAAAAGCUGGGCCAUCAGCCUUGUUGGGGCGGCCGUCCCUGUGGACAUAGAUGAAGAUGUGUGUCUGUGGACAUUGAUGAAGAUGUAAGCACACAAGUCAAGACCCGCCUGCUGGUGAAUGAGAAGGACAAGUUGCGCACUUGCGCUGCACCACCAACUACAUGCUCUUGUAAUAUAUAAAUGUUUUAUUUCGCUCGACUACGUUUUUAGCCUAUCAUCAUUUGUAUUUUGUAAUGUAACAUCACUUCUAUUAGCUUGUCCAACUCUUUUGCGUGUUUCUUUAACUUCUUUAAAAAUCUUUUGCAACUAUUAUGCUUUAAUCAUUGAUUUUGAC